RNAcentral lists this small nuclear RNA (19 nucleotides) under Arabidopsis thaliana (thale cress). RNAcentral's name for it is "snRNA_09275". Lineage: Eukaryota; Viridiplantae; Streptophyta; Magnoliopsida; Brassicales; Brassicaceae. The record is from RNAcentral.
AUUACUACAAAUAUCAUUC